UGGGGAAUAUUGCACAAUGGGCGCAAGCCUGAUGCAGCCAUGCCGCGUGUAUGAAGAAGGCCUUCGGGUUGUAAAGUACUUUCAGCGAGGAGGAAGGCGUUGUGGUUAAUAACCGCAGCGAUUGACGUUACUCGCAGAAGAAGCACCGGCUAACUCCGUGCCAGCAGCCGCGGUAAUACGGAGGGUGCAAGCGUUAAUCGGAAUUACUGGGCGUAAAGCGCACGCAGGCGGUCUGUCAAGUCGGAUGUGAAAUCCCCGGGCUCAACCUGGGAACUGCAUCCGAAACUGGCAGGCUAGAGUCUUGUAGAGGGGGGUAGAAUUCCAGGUGUAGCGGUGAAAUGCGUAGAGAUCUGGAGGAGUACCGGUGGCGAAGGCGGCCCCCUGGACAAAGACUGACGCUCAGGUGCGAAAGCGUGGGGAGCAAACA
Molecule: ribosomal RNA, 427 nt
Filed under: uncultured bacterium
Lineage: Bacteria
Description: partial 16S ribosomal RNA
Rfam family: Bacterial small subunit ribosomal RNA
Source: RNAcentral